UGUAAGUAAGCUUUGAUCCAGAGAUUUCCGAAUGGGGAAACCCAGCAUGAGUUAUGUCAUGUUAUCGAUAUGUGAAUACAUAGCAUAUCAGAAGGCACACCCGGAGAACUGAAACAUCUUAGUACCCGGAGGAAGAGAAAGAAAAUUCGAUUCCCUUAGUAGCGGCGAGCGAAACGGGAAGAGCCCAAACCAACAAGCUUGCUUGUUGGGGUUGUAGGACACUCUAUACGGAGUUACAAAGGACGACAUUAGACGAAUCAUCUGGAAAGAUGAAUCAAAGAAGGUAAUAAUCCUGUAGUCGAAAAUGUUGUCUCUCUUGAGUGGAUCCUGAGUACGACGGAGCACGUGAAAUUCCGUCGGAAUCUGGGAGGACCAUCUCCUAAGGCUAAAUACUCUCUAGUGACCGAUAGUGAACCAGUACCGUGAGGGAAAGGUGAAAAGCACCCCGGAAGGGGAGUGAAAUAGAACCUGAAACCGUGUGCUUACAAGUAGUCAGAGCCCGUUAAUGGGUGAUGGCGUGCCUUUUGUAGAAUGAACCGGCGAGUUACGAUUUGAUGCAAGGUUAAGCAGUAAAUGUGGAGCCGUAGCGAAAGCGAGUCUGAAUAGGGCGUUUAGUAUUUGGUCGUAGACCCGAAACCAGGUGAUCUACCCUUGGUCAGGUUGAAGUUCAGGUAACACUGAAUGGAGGACCGAACCGACUUACGUUGAAAAGUGAGCGGAUGAACUGAGGGUAGCGGAGAAAUUCCAAUCGAACCUGGAGAUAGCUGGUUCUCUCCGAAAUAGCUUUAGGGCUAGCCUCAAGUGAUGAUUAUUGGAGGUAGAGCACUGUUUGGACGAGGGGCCCCUCUCGGGUUACCGAAUUCAGACAAACUCCGAAUGCCAAUUAAUUUAACUUGGGAGUCAGAACAUGGGUGAUAAGGUCCGUGUUCGAAAGGGAAACAGCCCAGACCACCAGCUAAGGUCCCAAAAUAUAUGUUAAGUGGAAAAGGAUGUGGCGUUGCCCAGACAACUAGGAUGUUGGCUUAGAAGCAGCCAUCAUUUAAAGAGUGCGUAAUAGCUCACUAGUCGAGUGACACUGCGCCGAAAAUGUACCGGGGCUAAACAUAUUACCGAAGCUGUGGAUUGUCCUUUGGACAAUGGUAGGAGAGCGUUCUAAGGGCGUUGAAGCAUGAUCGUAAGGACAUGUGGAGCGCUUAGAAGUGAGAAUGCCGGUGUGAGUAGCGAAAGACGGGUGAGAAUCCCGUCCACCGAUUGACUAAGGUUUCCAGAGGAAGGCUCGUCCGCUCUGGGUUAGUCGGGUCCUAAGCUGAGGCCGACAGGCGUAGGCGAUGGAUAACAGGUUGAUAUUCCUGUACCACCUAUAAUCGUUUUAAUCGAUGGGGGGACGCAGUAGGAUAGGCGAAGCGUGCGAUUGGAUUGCACGUCUAAGCAGUAAGGCUGAGUAUUAGGCAAAUCCGGUACUCGUUAAGGCUGAGCUGUGAUGGGGAGAAGACAUUGUGUCUUCGAGUCGUUGAUUUCACACUGCCGAGAAAAGCCUCUAGAUAGAAAAUAGGUGCCCGUACCGCAAACCGACACAGGUAGUCAAGAUGAGAAUUCUAAGGUGAGCGAGCGAACUCUCGUUAAGGAACUCGGCAAAAUGACCCCGUAACUUCGGGAGAAGGGGUGCUCUUUAGGGUUAACGCCCAGAAGAGCCGCAGUGAAUAGGCCCAAGCGACUGUUUAUCAAAAACACAGGUCUCUGCUAAACCGUAAGGUGAUGUAUAGGGGCUGACGCCUGCCCGGUGCUGGAAGGUUAAGAGGAGUGGUUAGCUUCUGCGAAGCUACGAAUCGAAGCCCCAGUAAACGGCGGCCGUAACUAUAACGGUCCUAAGGUAGCGAAAUUCCUUGUCGGGUAAGUUCCGACCCGCACGAAAGGCGUAACGAUUUGGGCACUGUCUCAACGAGAGACUCGGUGAAAUCAUAGUACCUGUGAAGAUGCAGGUUACCCGCGACAGGACGGAAAGACCCCGUGGAGCUUUACUGUAGCCUGAUAUUGAAAUUCGGCACAGCUUGUACAGGAUAGGUAGGAGCCUUUGAAACGUGAGCGCUAGCUUACGUGGAGGCGCUGGUGGGAUACUACCCUAGCUGUGUUGGCUUUCUAACCCGCACCACUUAUCGUGGUGGGAGACAGUGUCAGGCGGGCAGUUUGACUGGGGCGGUCGCCUCCUAAAAGGUAACGGAGGCGCUCAAAGGUUCCCUCAGAAUGGUUGGAAAUCAUUCAUAGAGUGUAAAGGCAUAAGGGAGCUUGACUGCGAGACCUACAAGUCGAGCAGGGUCGAAAGACGGACUUAGUGAUCCGGUGGUUCCGCAUGGAAGGGCCAUCGCUCAACGGAUAAAAGCUACCCCGGGGAUAACAGGCUUAUCUCCCCCAAGAGUUCACAUCGACGGGGAGGUUUGGCACCUCGAUGUCGGCUCAUCGCAUCCUGGGGCUGUAGUCGGUCCCAAGGGUUGGGCUGUUCGCCCAUUAAAGCGGUACGCGAGCUGGGUUCAGAACGUCGUGAGACAGUUCGGUCCCUAUCCGUCGUGGGCGUAGGAAAUUUGAGAGGAGCUGUCCUUAGUACGAGAGGACCGGGAUGGACAUACCUCUGGUGUACCAGUUGUCGUGCCAACGGCAUAGCUGGGUAGCUAUGUGUGGACGGGAUAAGUGCUGAAAGCAUCUAAGCAUGAAGCCCCCCUCAAGAUGAGAUUUCCCAACUUCGGUUAUAAGAUCCCUCAAAGAUGAUGAGGUUAAUAGGUUCGAGGUGGAAGCAUGGUGACAUGUGGAGCUGACGAAUACUAAUCGAUCGAAGACUUAAUCAA
Molecule: ribosomal RNA, 2837 nt
Filed under: Staphylococcus aureus DAR3555
Lineage: Bacteria; Bacillati; Bacillota; Bacilli; Caryophanales; Staphylococcaceae
Description: bacterial LSU rRNA
Rfam family: Bacterial large subunit ribosomal RNA
Source: RNAcentral